RNAcentral lists this microRNA (23 nucleotides) under Caenorhabditis remanei. RNAcentral's name for it is "crm-miR-786". Its record names the gene crm-miR-786. The record is from miRBase by way of RNAcentral. Lineage: Eukaryota; Metazoa; Nematoda; Chromadorea; Rhabditida; Rhabditidae.
UAAUGCCCUUGCUGAGAUUCCAU